UUUAGGAACCCACCUAUAGUAUUGACAUGUUAUUGGGCGUCUUCUUGAAGCAUGGGGCACAUGUAUGUGGGGUGCCCUGAAUGCACUUAGAUCCCAUAAACCCUUACUUGUUGGGUAUUCCUAGUAGCCAUAGCCAUAUUUUCCACCAAAUGAGUUAAUUCAGACAUUUAAGACUGAAGAAAAUAGAUAUUUACUUCAUUCACCCUUCGUAGGGUGUCCCAUAUAGUACCAAAUU
Molecule: long non-coding RNA, 235 nt
Filed under: Carica papaya (papaya)
Lineage: Eukaryota; Viridiplantae; Streptophyta; Magnoliopsida; Brassicales; Caricaceae
Description: long non-coding RNA (CPAP_LNC002770)
Source: RNAcentral